RNAcentral lists this ribosomal RNA (1372 nucleotides) under uncultured bacterium. RNAcentral describes it as "bacterial SSU rRNA". It matches the Rfam family "Bacterial small subunit ribosomal RNA", at positions 28 to 1381 of the family's 1533-position model. The record is from RNAcentral.
GAUGAACGCUGGCGGCGUGCCUAAUACAUGCAAGUCGAGCGAACGGACGAGAAGCUUGCUUCUCUGAUGUUAGCGGCGGACGGGUGAGUAACACGUGGAUAACCUACCUAUAAGACUGGGAUAACUUCGGGAAACCGGAGCUAAUACCGGAUAAUAUUUUGAACCGCAUGGUUCAAAAGUGAAAGACGGUCUUGCUGUCACUUAUAGAUGGAUCCGCGCUGCAUUAGCUAGUUGGUAAGGUAACGGCUUACCAAGGCAACGAUGCAUAGCCGACCUGAGAGGGUGAUCGGCCACACUGGAACUGAGACACGGUCCAGACUCCUACGGGAGGCAGCAGUAGGGAAUCUUCCGCAAUGGGCGAAAGCCUGACGGAGCAACGCCGCGUGAGUGAUGAAGGUCUUCGGAUCGUAAAGCUCUGUUAUUAGGGAAGAACAUAUGUGUAAGUAACUGUGCACAUCUUGACGGUACCUAAUCAGAAAGCCACGGCUAACUACGUGCCAGCAGCCGCGGUAAUACGUAGGUGGCAAGCGUUAUCCGGAAUUAUUGGGCGUAAAGCGCGCGUAGGCGGUUUUUUAAGUCUGAUGUGAAAGCCCACGGCUCAACCGUGGAGGGUCAUUGGAAACUGGAAAACUUGAGUGCAGAAGAGGAAAGUGGAAUUCCAUGUGUAGCGGUGAAAUGCGCAGAGAUAUGGAGGAACACCAGUGGCGAAGGCGACUUUCUGGUCUGUAACUGACGCUGAUGUGCGAAAGCGUGGGGAUCAAACAGGAUUAGAUACCCUGGUAGUCCACGCCGUAAACGAUGAGUGCUAAGUGUUAGGGGGUUUCCGCCCCUUAGUGCUGCAGCUAACGCAUUAAGCACUCCGCCUGGGGAGUACGACCGCAAGGUUGAAACUCAAAGGAAUUGACGGGGACCCGCACAAGCGGUGGAGCAUGUGGUUUAAUUCGAAGCAACGCGAAGAACCUUACCAAAUCUUGACAUCCUUUGACAACUCUAGAGAUAGAGCCUUCCCCUUCGGGGGACAAAGUGACAGGUGGUGCAUGGUUGUCGUCAGCUCGUGUCGUGAGAUGUUGGGUUAAGUCCCGCAACGAGCGCAACCCUUAAGCUUAGUUGCCAUCAUUAAGUUGGGCACUCUAAGUUGACUGCCGGUGACAAACCGGAGGAAGGUGGGGAUGACGUCAAAUCAUCAUGCCCCUUAUGAUUUGGGCUACACACGUGCUACAAUGGACAAUACAAAGGGCAGCGAAACCGCGAGGUCAAGCAAAUCCCAUAAAGUUGUUCUCAGUUCGGAUUGUAGUCUGCAACUCGACUACAUGAAGCUGGAAUCGCUAGUAAUCGUAGAUCAGCAUGCUACGGUGAAUACGUUCCCGGGUCU